CGAAGCAACACUAUUACCAAUAUAACACUAUUAUCAAUAUGUUGUCCCGUGCUGAAGCGGCCCCCCCCCAGAUUUUUUGCCUCUGAUUGCCGGUUGGCUUGAUUUGUUGGAGGCGUUCACAUGGCUGUCACCUCACACUCACUGUUUAUUCUGCUUUGCUCGCGUUGCCGCCUGGACUUAGGUUUGGGCAGACCGCAGCAGAGUAUCAAUUUCGUGUUGGCAGUCUAGAGUG
This 232-nucleotide unclassified non-coding RNA is filed under the name Hevea brasiliensis (rubber tree). Lineage: Eukaryota; Viridiplantae; Streptophyta; Magnoliopsida; Malpighiales; Euphorbiaceae. The record is from RNAcentral.